RNAcentral lists this ribosomal RNA (253 nucleotides) under uncultured bacterium. RNAcentral describes it as "partial 16S ribosomal RNA". It matches the Rfam family "Bacterial small subunit ribosomal RNA", at positions 524 to 776 of the family's 1533-position model. The record is from RNAcentral.
UACGGAGGGACCAAGCGUUGUUCGGAUUUACUGGGCGUAAAGGGCGCGUAGGCGGCAAUUCAAGUCAGCUGUGAAAUCUCCGAGCUUAACUCGGAACGGUCAGCUGAUACUGCUUUGCUAGAGUGCAGAAAGGGCAAUCGGAAUUCUUGGUGUAGCGGUGAAAUGCGUAGAUAUCAAGAGGAACACCUGAGGCGAAGGCGGGUUGCUAGGCUGACACUGACGCUGAGGCGCGAAAGCUAGGGUAGCAAACGGG